RNAcentral lists this ribosomal RNA (500 nucleotides) under uncultured bacterium. RNAcentral describes it as "partial 16S ribosomal RNA". It matches the Rfam family "Bacterial small subunit ribosomal RNA", at positions 28 to 507 of the family's 1533-position model. The record is from RNAcentral.
GACGAACGCUGGCGGCGUGCUUAACACAUGCAAGUCGAACGGGUCUGCCCUGUUUUUUGCGGGGUGGGUCAGUGGCGAACGGGUGAGUAACACGUGAGUAACCUGCCCCUCACUUCUGGAUAACCGCUUGAAAGGGUGGCUAAUACGGGGUGUUCUGGCUGUGCCGCAUGGUGUGGCUGGGAAAGAUUCACUUUUGUGGUGUUUUGGUGGGGGAUGGGCUCGCGGCCUAUCAGCUUGUUGGUGGGGUGAUGGCCUGCCAAGGCUUUGACGGGUAGCCGGCCUGAGAGGGUGGGCGGUCACACUGGGACUGAGAUACGGCCCAGACUCCUGCGGGAGGCAGCAGUGGGGGGUAUUGCACAAUGGGCGGAAGCCUGAUGCAGCGACGUCGCGGGAGGGAUGGAGGCCUUCGGGUUGUGAACCUCUUUCGCCGGUGAAGAAGGUCCUGCUCUUUGUGGUGGGGUUGACGGUAGCCGGGUUAUGAAGCGCCGGCUAACUACGUG